RNAcentral lists this ribosomal RNA (255 nucleotides) under Salmonella enterica subsp. enterica serovar Virchow. Its description in RNAcentral is "partial 23S ribosomal RNA". It matches the Rfam family "Bacterial large subunit ribosomal RNA", at positions 539 to 796 of the family's 2925-position model. RNAcentral also lists the same sequence under 1 other name. Lineage: Bacteria; Pseudomonadati; Pseudomonadota; Gammaproteobacteria; Enterobacterales; Enterobacteriaceae. The record is from RNAcentral.
UGAAAAAGAACCUGAAACCGUGUACGUACAAGCAGUGGGAGCACCCUUCGGGGUGUGACUGCGUACCUUUUGUAUAAUGGGUCAGCGACUUAUAUUCUGUAGCAAGGUUAACCGUAUAGGGGAGCCGUAGGGAAACCGAGUCUUAACCGGGCGUUAAGUUGCAGGGUAUAGACCCGAAACCCGGUGAUCUAGCCAUGGGCAGGUUGAAGGUUGGGUAACACUAACUGGAGGACCGAACCGACUAAUGUUGAAAAA